RNAcentral lists this ribosomal RNA (253 nucleotides) under uncultured bacterium. RNAcentral describes it as "partial 16S ribosomal RNA". It matches the Rfam family "Bacterial small subunit ribosomal RNA", at positions 524 to 776 of the family's 1533-position model. The record is from RNAcentral.
UACGUAGGUGGCAAGCGUUGUCCGGAUUUACUGGGCGUAAAGGGCGUGCAGGCGGUUUGUUAAGUGCAGAGUGAAAGCUCCCGGCUCAACUGGGAGAGGUCUUUGCAUACUGGCAAACUCGAGGGAGGCAGAGGAAAGUGGAAUUCCCGGUGUAGUGGUGAUAUGCGUAGAUAUCGGGAGGAACACCUGUGGCGAAGGCGGCUUUCUGGGCCUUACCUGACGCUGAGACGCGAAAGCGUGGGGAGCAAACCGG